RNAcentral lists this long non-coding RNA (210 nucleotides) under Vigna radiata. Its description in RNAcentral is "long non-coding RNA (VRAD_LNC008674)". The record is from RNAcentral. Lineage: Eukaryota; Viridiplantae; Streptophyta; Magnoliopsida; Fabales; Fabaceae.
AGGUCCAUAAGUACAACGCUCAGCUCUGGUUUCAUCGCUCAGCGAUAGGUGCGAUACUCCACUGGGACGCUUAGGUGUCAUGCCGUAUUAAACUGAAGAUGCCAGCGCUCAGCGGUGGAUCUUGGCGCUCAGCAGUAAGCACGGUUCUUCAUUUUCCCUUGAGCGCUGGCGUUUAAGCGUUUGACAAUGGAUUUUUCCACGAAGUUGGCG